RNAcentral lists this long non-coding RNA (509 nucleotides) under Hordeum vulgare. RNAcentral's name for it is "long non-coding RNA (HVUL_LNC011302)". Lineage: Eukaryota; Viridiplantae; Streptophyta; Magnoliopsida; Poales; Poaceae. The record is from RNAcentral.
GCCAAACAGCGGAUUAAUUAUCCAUCAAACUAAUCAUGCCAAUUAUUUUAUCCUAAACCCACCACAUUUAAUUACGAUAUCGGUAGUCGAUCGAUGCUUGCUAGAACCGGCCACAACUUGCAAUGAAACUCCUCUUGGUCUGAAAAACUAAUUGACAGCCAAUCCACGCGUGUGCCUUCACCAACAAGCCACCAUGAAACUUCUCACGCCGAUUAAUUAGUUACAUAUCGCUCGACCAUUUACUUAGUUACAUAUCGCUUUAAUUAUGGCCCGCAACUGCAUCAGCUUCCUCAUCUUGAUAUCAGGAUGCAAACAUGGGUUUCGAUUGCUGCUGCAGUAAUCAUGAAAACAUACAAAAAGAGGUAGUAUUUGCCACCUUUACAUUUUGAUGGAACUGGAUCAUGCUUAAGAUAUGCUAUCCUGGUGACUGGCUAAAAGGGGGUGAAUAAAAGGGUGAUUAGUGGGUGGCUACCAGAAAGUAAAAAAAGAAGAUGGUAGAAGAAGAGGCU